AUACGGAGGGUGCAAGCGUUAUCCGGAAUCACUGGGUUUAAAGGGUGCGUAGGCGGCUAAAUAAGUCAGAGGUGAAAUCUUCCUGCUUAACGGGAAAAUUGCCUUUGAAACUGUAUAGCUUGAAUUAAGUUGAGGUUAGCGGAAUGUGACAUGUAGCGGUGAAAUGCAUAGAUAUGUCAUAGAACACCAAAUGCGAAGGCAGCUGGCUAGGCUUAUAUUGACGCUGAGGCACGAAAGCGUGGGGAGCGAACAGGAUUAGAAACCCUAGUAGUCC
This 274-nucleotide ribosomal RNA is filed under the name uncultured bacterium. RNAcentral's name for it is "partial 16S ribosomal RNA". It matches the Rfam family "Bacterial small subunit ribosomal RNA", at positions 523 to 796 of the family's 1533-position model. The record is from RNAcentral.